GAUUUUGUAGCUCAACUGGAUUGAGCAUUCGUCUACGAAGCGAAAAGUUUAGGUUCGAAUCCUAACAAAAUCA
RNAcentral lists this transfer RNA (73 nucleotides) under Flavobacterium indicum GPTSA100-9 = DSM 17447. RNAcentral's name for it is "tRNA-Arg (ACG) (tRNA-Arg-ACG-2-1)". It matches the Rfam family "tRNA". From Rfam's summary of the family: Transfer RNA (tRNA) molecules are approximately 80 nucleotides in length. Their secondary structure includes four short double-helical elements and three loops (D, anti-codon, and T loops). Further hydrogen bonds mediate the characteristic L-shaped molecular structure. tRNAs have two regions of fundamental functional importance: the anti-codon, which is responsible for specific mRNA codon recognition, and the 3' end, to which the tRNAs corresponding amino acid is attached (by aminoacyl-tRNA synthetases). tRNAs cope with the degeneracy of the genetic code in two manners: having more than one tRNA (with a specific anti-codon) for a particular amino acid; and 'wobble' base-pairing, i.e. permitting non-standard base-pairing at the 3rd anti-codon position. Lineage: Bacteria; Pseudomonadati; Bacteroidota; Flavobacteriia; Flavobacteriales; Flavobacteriaceae. The record is from Rfam by way of RNAcentral.